This 465-nucleotide ribosomal RNA is filed under the name uncultured bacterium. Its description in RNAcentral is "partial 16S ribosomal RNA". It matches the Rfam family "Bacterial small subunit ribosomal RNA", at positions 28 to 507 of the family's 1533-position model. The record is from RNAcentral.
GACGAACGCUGGCGGCGUGCUUAACACAUGCAAGUCGAACGGAAAGGCCCUGCUUGCAGGGUACUCGAGUUGCGAACGGGUGAGUAACACGUGGGUGCUCUGCCCUGCACUUCGGGAUAAGCCUGGGCAACUGGGUCUAAUACCGGAUAGGAGCUAUUUUUAGUGUGAUGGUUGGAAAGUUUUUUCGGUGUUGGAUGAGCUCGCGGCCUAUCAGCUUGUUGGUGGGGUAAUGGCCUACCAAGGCGGCGAGGGGUAGCCGGCCUGAGAGGGUGGACGGCGACAUUGAGACUGAGGUACGGCACAGACUCCGAAGGGAGGCAGCAGUGGGGAAUAUUGCACAAUGGGCGCAAGCCUGAUGCAGCGACGCCGCGUGGGGGAUGACGGCCUUGGGGUUGUAAAAUACUUUCGCUAGGGACGAAGCUUUUUGUGACGGUACCUAGAUAAGAAGCACCGGCUAACUACGUG